GGGCGGUUGGCGCAAUGGUAGCGCGUUGGUUUUCGGCAGAGAUACACCAAAGGCUGUGUGUUCGAGCCCCAUGCUGCUCG
RNAcentral lists this transfer RNA (80 nucleotides) under Friedmanniomyces endolithicus. RNAcentral's name for it is "tRNA-Arg". It matches the Rfam family "tRNA". From Rfam's summary of the family: Transfer RNA (tRNA) molecules are approximately 80 nucleotides in length. Their secondary structure includes four short double-helical elements and three loops (D, anti-codon, and T loops). The record is from RNAcentral. Lineage: Eukaryota; Fungi; Ascomycota; Dothideomycetes; Mycosphaerellales; Teratosphaeriaceae.